Anopheles coustani is the source of this 396-nucleotide long non-coding RNA. RefSeq lists it as uncharacterized. NCBI's taxonomy places the organism in Eukaryota, Metazoa, Arthropoda, Insecta, Diptera, Culicidae. The record is from RefSeq and is a predicted model, not a curated record. The transcript has 3 exons.
AAUAUUUGCUCCAAAUUUGAUUACAAAUUUAAUUUUUGCAAGAAUCUUCCAUCUUUCUUUUUUCAAAUCUUAUGAACCCCGUGAAGGUUCGUUAGUAAGGAUGUUAAAUGAAAUAACUAUUAAGAACUUCAUAAGUAUUACGCGAUUAUAGAACGGCUUGAUGCUUUUUGCAACACUUGAAUCAUGUAGCAGCAGCGAAAAUCAAAGGGAAUGAACUCUGUUAGCACACUUCAGACAAUCUUUUGGCGGCUUUCGCUUCUGGUUUUUAAUUGGUUUGAUGUGAUAUUGGUCUAGUGAUCUUACUUUUGCUUAUAGGUUUUCAUAUGGAUUUUCUACGUUUUGUUUCUCUGGGCAGUUUAUUUUGUCCUACCUUAUUUUAAGGUAUUUCAGUGCUGA